CCUUUCCUUUGGGAGACAGCGGUGGGGAAUUUUGGACAAUGGGGGCAAACCUGAUCCAGCCAUUCCGCGUGAGUGAAGAAGGCCUUCGGGUUGUAAAGCUCUUUCAGGCGGAAAGAAAUCGCACGGGUUAAUACCCUGUGUGGAUGACGGUACCAUCAGAAGAAGCACCGGCUAACUACGUGCCAGCAGCCGCGGUAAUACGUAGGGUGCGAGCGUUAAUCGGAAUUACUGGGCGUAAAGCGUGCGCAGGCGGUGAUGUAAGACAGAUGUGAAAUCCCCGGGCUCAACCUGGGAAAUGCGUUUGUGACUGCAUAACUAGAGUACGGCAGAGGGAGGUGGAAUUCCGCGUGUAGCAGUGAAAUGCGUAGAGAUGUGGAGGAACACCCAUGGCGAAGGCAGCCUCCUGGGCCAGUACUGACGCUCAUGCACGAAAGAGUGGGGAGCAAACACGAUUAGAUACCCCGGUAGUCCACGCCCUAAACGAUGUCAAAUAGUUGUUCGGUGAGGAGACUCAUUGAGUAACGCAGCUAACGCGAGAAGUGACCGCAUGGGAUACGCCACUG
This 563-nucleotide ribosomal RNA is filed under the name uncultured bacterium. RNAcentral's name for it is "bacterial SSU rRNA". It matches the Rfam family "Bacterial small subunit ribosomal RNA", at positions 333 to 888 of the family's 1533-position model. The record is from RNAcentral.